AUUGAACGCUGGCGGCAUGCCUUACACAUGCAAGUCGAACGGCAGCACGGGGCAACCUGGUGGCGAGUGGCGAACGGGUGAGUAAUGCAUCGGAACGUACCUUUCAGUGGGGGAUAACGUAGCGAAAGUUACGCUAAUACCGCAUAUUCUGUGAGCAGGAAAGCAGGGGAUCGCAAGACCUUGCGCUGAUUGAGCGGCCGAUGUCAGAUUAGCUAGUUGGUGAGGUAAAGGCUCACCAAGGCGACGAUCUGUAGCGGGUCUGAGAGGAUGAUCCGCCACACUGGAACUGAGACACGGUCCAGACUCCUACGGGAGGCAGCAGUGGGGAAUUUUGGACAAUGGGGGCAACCCUGAUCCAGCCAUGCCGCGUGAGUGAAGAAGGCCUUCGGGUUGUAAAGCUCUUUCGGCCGGGAAGAAAUCGCACGGGCUAAUACCCUGUGUGGAUGACGGUACCGGAAUAAGAAGCACCGGCUAACUACGUGCCAGCCGCCGCAGUAA
Molecule: ribosomal RNA, 498 nt
Filed under: uncultured bacterium
Lineage: Bacteria
Description: partial 16S ribosomal RNA
Rfam family: Bacterial small subunit ribosomal RNA
Source: RNAcentral